GCCUUCGGGCAUUUGGUCAAUUUGAAACGAUACAGAGAAGAUGUAAGUUAUACCCCAGAGGUCGUGGAUUCGAAUCACGGUUACUAACACUUCUUCAGUAGCAUGGCCCCUGCACUAAGGAUGACACGCUCAAUCAAAGAGAAGCUACCAAUUUUU
This 156-nucleotide small nuclear RNA is filed under the name Colletotrichum sublineola. Lineage: Eukaryota; Fungi; Ascomycota; Sordariomycetes; Glomerellales; Glomerellaceae. The record is from RNAcentral.